This 1688-nucleotide ribosomal RNA is filed under the name Globobulimina sp. Its description in RNAcentral is "eukaryotic LSU rRNA". It matches the Rfam family "Eukaryotic large subunit ribosomal RNA", at positions 1275 to 2842 of the family's 3401-position model. The record is from RNAcentral. Lineage: Eukaryota; Foraminifera; Rotaliida; Buliminidae.
GGAGUGUGUAACAACUCACCUGCCGAAUGCACCAGCCCCGAAAAUGGACGAUGCUCAAACGAACCACCUAUAGCAUGCCAGCACCGUCGUGUACUUUCACAAGAAACGACUGCUGUGUAGGUAGGCGUGGGGCACGAGCCGAAGGCCUGAAUCGUGAGAUGGGCUGGAUCGUGCGCCUAGUGCAGAUCUUGGUUGUAGUAGCGAAUAUUCAAUUGAUGAACAUUGAAGGCUGAAGUGGAGAAGGUUUCCGUGUGAACAGUACUUGGACACGGGUCAGCCGGUCCUAACCCCAGAGGAAAGCCUCCCCAUGCAAAGGCGCAUGACAUCCGCCCCGUCGGGUCCUCCCGGCGGGACACGGGCUUGCGCAACGGGGGAAGGGGAAAUCGGCCCAAGAUUCCGAUGCCGUGGUCGUGGGGAGACGAAGCUGCGAAGCACUUUGCAAACAGACAAUGCCGGACGCAGUGUGAUCGGGCCCUGGGAGAGUUAUCUGUUCUCUUUGACUGCACGAGCGCGCGGAAUGACAUUUAACGUGCCGAGGCGCGCUUCCACCCGAGGGAAAGCAGUGCGCUUGACGUGCUGUUGGGUACCCCGGUCACGCUACGGUGAAGCUCCGGCGGCGGUCCCAUGCCCCGACGACUCGACCGUACCGAUAACCGCAUCCGGUCUCCAAGGUGAAUAGCCUCUGGUCAACGGAGUCCAUGUAACUAAGGGAAGUCGGCAAAAUAGAUGCGUAACUUCGGGAGAAGCAUUGGCUCCAAGGGUCGGAUGCCUGUGGCCUGGUGGCGCCUGCAGCUGCUGCGAGGUGGGUUGCCGGACUGCCUCUCGGGGUGGACUGACGACUGCCUUGCGGCGGCGGCGGGACCGUCCGCCAGUUUGCCGCGGGUAUUGCCAACGGCUAACUUGGAACUGUCGCUGAGAGGGGGAAUCUAACUGUUUAAUUGAAACAUAGCUUUCAGAAGCUCGUGGUCGGACGUGGGCUCAAAGUGAAUCCUGCCCAGUGCUCUGAAUGUUAAUGCAAAGAGAUUUUACCAAGCUCGGGUAAACGGCGGGAGUAACUAUGACUCUCUUAAGGUAGCCAAAUGCCUCGUCUUCUAAUUAAAGACGCGCAUGAAUGGACUAAUGAGAUUCCCACUGUCCCUAGUUACUGUCCGGCGAACCGACAGUCAAGGGAACGGGCUUGAAAUCUUCAGCGGGGAAAGAAGACCCUGUUGAGUUUGACUCUAAUCUGGCUUUGUGAAGUGACAUUCGAGGUGUAGGAUAGGUGGGAGGCGCAAGCCGCACGUGAAAUACCACUACUCGAAUCGUUGCUUUGCUCAUUGCAUUGAAUGGGAACGGCAGUCGCUGGCUUUGCCAGUGAGGCUCAACCUAGUUGAGUCGAGACUUUUCCGUUUCUUGUCGUAAACACGGGGUUCUCUUCGUGUGACCCAUUGAUGCAAGACAUUUGCCAGAUGGGGAGUUUGGCUGGGGCGGCAUAUCUGUGAAAAUCUAGCGCAGGUGUCCUAAGGCAGGCUCAGUGAGAACAGAAAUCUCACGUAGACGAUAAGGCGAAAAGCCUGCUUGAUUUCUCGGUCUUCAGUACUGACCCAGACUGUGAAAGCAAGGCCUAACGAUCCUUUGUACUCAUUGUGUUCAGAGUACGAAGUCAGAGGUGACAGAAAAAUUACCACAGGGAUAACUGGCUUGUGGCC